RNAcentral lists this long non-coding RNA (914 nucleotides) under Chloebia gouldiae (Gouldian finch). RNAcentral's name for it is "Erythrura gouldiae (Gouldian finch) lncRNA (ENSEGOG00005001246.1)". Lineage: Eukaryota; Metazoa; Chordata; Aves; Passeriformes; Passeridae. The record is from RNAcentral.
CUUCCCUUAUGAUUGGAGUUUGUCUAGAAGGUGUGGUCUCAUUUACAUCCUGCCUCAACUGCCUUUGGCUUCUCUAGAUUCACCCCUUGCCUGUGGCUGGAAAAGGAACUCCUGCAAACAGAAAAAAACGGCUGUGUGAAAAACACGUUUUUUCUUCCUCUGUUUCUUCACUGUGUGCAUUCCUACUGGAAUUUCUGCUUCCCAGAGAGAUUUGACAAUCCGGCUUCAGCACCAGCUGGGGUGUGGAAGGCAGUCUGGCCAGGAAUAUUGGCAGAAAUAUGAAAUCUCUUCAGUCCUGUACGUGGCCUUCUAGAAACCUGUAUGGAGGCUUUGUGGAAUCUGCAGAAUGGGCAGUUCUUGAGGUUGGAGGAGUGAUCCUGGAAAGCCAGUACGAAGCAUCAGCACAGUUGAAGAAAACCAGUGAGGAUCACCAUGGAGAAGAAAGAAGCCGAUGAGCACAGAGAAACAGGCAGCAGCUGUUAUGAGCACAAUCCAAGUUCAAGGACCACCCACGGCUUCACUGCAGGAAUUGGGGUGGACUGAGUACAUUCUGCAGCAAGAAUAAGGGAAAUUGAGACUAAGAAUUACGGAGGAUAGGUGUUUGACUUAAAUUGAGCCUGAGGAAGGAGAGGAAAAGAUGUUUACUUGAGUGUUUAAUUGUUUAUAUUAUAUCUUUUCUUUUCUGAUACCUGGAUCAGUGAUCAAAAAUUUCUGUUAAUUGGUAAUUCAUUAAAUUAAGUAAAAGUUGACCAGUUUUUGCCUUUGAUGCUGGCAAGUGCAAUAGCCAAACCUUCAUUUCCUGGACACCCUUUAGCAUAUUCUGCUUUGAUAAAGCAGAGAUGCAUUAAAAUCUUUGGAAACUACAGAUAAAUUCAGAUUAAGACUCUUUAUCUUGUCUAAGUACUCUGAAGAGG